UAGGGAAUCUUCCGCAAUGGACGAAAGUCUGACGGAGCAACGCCGCGUGAGUGAAGAAGGAUUUCGGUUCUUAAAACUCUGUUGUUAGGGAAGAAAAAAUGUAUAGUAACUAUAUACAAAAGAGACGGUACCUAACCAGACAGCCACGGCUAACUACGUGCCAGCAGCCGCGGUAAUACGUAGGUGGCAAGCGUUGUCCGGAAUUAUUGGGCGUAAAGCGCGCGCAGGUGGUUUAGAAAGUCUGAUGUGAAAGCCCACGGCUCAACCGUGGAGGGUCAUUGGAAACUAAUAAACUUGAGUGCAGGAGAGAAAAGUGGAAUUCCUAGUGUAGCGGUGAAAUGCGUAGAGAUUAGGAGGAACACCGGUGGCGAAAGCGGCUUUUUGGCCUGCAACUGACACUGAGGCGCGAAAGCGUGGGGAGCAAACAGG
RNAcentral lists this ribosomal RNA (429 nucleotides) under Verrucomicrobiota bacterium. Its description in RNAcentral is "Verrucomicrobia bacterium partial 16S ribosomal RNA". It matches the Rfam family "Bacterial small subunit ribosomal RNA", at positions 355 to 776 of the family's 1533-position model. The record is from RNAcentral. Lineage: Bacteria; Pseudomonadati; Verrucomicrobiota.